UGAUUUCAGAGAGGUGCUUGCAUUCUAUCCUGAUGCCAUCUAGAGUGUAAAUGCCCAAUGUCACACUGCUGAGAAAGGAAUGCCUGGCUCUCAUCUCAUCGGUUGCCCAGAGGAACCUGCUAUCCUGCCUGAAGAAGGUCGGGUCACGUGGAUAGUUCUUGCCAACUGAUUGGAAGAGGAAGUUUUGUGCAGCAUCUGGUCUAAAUCAGCAAAGCGUGCAAGAAUGUGCUGGGUGAGUGUGGGCAAAGGGCCAGAAGAGAACUUCAAGCUUAGUCAAGCGACAAAUCACUAAGGGAUGUGUAAGCCACAGCUACAUUAAGGACUUUGAAUUUUAUUUGGAACAGAAGGUAAUCAUUGCUCAUUUUCUUUCACU
Molecule: long non-coding RNA, 373 nt
Organism: Camelus dromedarius (Arabian camel)
Lineage: Eukaryota; Metazoa; Chordata; Mammalia; Artiodactyla; Camelidae
Exons: 4
Source: RefSeq, a predicted model, not a curated record